This 468-nucleotide ribosomal RNA is filed under the name uncultured bacterium. RNAcentral describes it as "partial 16S ribosomal RNA". It matches the Rfam family "Bacterial small subunit ribosomal RNA", at positions 28 to 507 of the family's 1533-position model. The record is from RNAcentral.
GACGAACGCUGGCGGCGUGCUUAACACAUGCAAGUCGAACGGAAAGGCCCUGCUUUUGCGGGGUGCUCGAGUGGCGCACGCGUGAGAAACACGUGAGUAUCCUGCCCUUGACGUUGGGAUAACCUCAGGAAACCGGGGCUAAUACCGGAUACGUGCUCCUGCUGCAUGGUGGGGGUUGGAAAGCUUCGGCGGUUGUGGAUGGACUCGCGGCUUACCAGCUUGUUGGUGGGGUACUGGCUUACCAAGGCAUCGACAGGUAGCCGGCCUGAGAGGGUGACCGGACACAUUGAGACUGCGGUACGACCCAGAUUCCUACGGUAGGCAGCAGUGGAGAAUCUUGCACAAUGGGCGGGAGCCUGAUGAAGCCACCCCGCGUGCGGGAUGACGGCCUACGGGUUAUAAAGCGCGUUAGCCUGUGACGAAGCGUCAGUGACGGUAAUGUGUAAAGAAGCACCGGCUAACUACGUG